Molecule: long non-coding RNA, 1327 nt
Filed under: Panax ginseng (ginseng)
Lineage: Eukaryota; Viridiplantae; Streptophyta; Magnoliopsida; Apiales; Araliaceae
Description: long non-coding RNA (PGIN_LNC007190)
Source: RNAcentral
GGAGUAAUAUAAUUAAUUAGUGACAAUACAAAACUAGUACAUUUUUUUUCCUGGUAUUAAUUAAUUAGGCGGAGGUUACCGGAAUAUGGGGGUUUUAUGACAGCCCCUGACAUAAUCAUGACCUGCCAACUCCAACUCCAGCUCCAACUCCAGAAUGGAGAUGCAUGGCAAUAACAUGAAAAAAGUUGUAGUCUAUACGUUAAUGGAGGUGGUGGAAUUAACCAUCUAGAACAUGCAGAUGACUAUAUAUAUAUAUAUAUGAUCAGCCAGACCCAAAUCAUUCAUUCCUUUCAGAUCAGUACUUGUUCCAUCAUUCCAUUUACAUGAAUUGCAUGGUACGUACGUACAUGAUGUUUAUUAAUUUAAUUAAUUAAUUAUAUAUCAAUCAAUCAAUUAAUUAAACCCUUCCAGGAGGCCUUGGGUCAUGGUCGUGGUUUGCUCCAGUUCUUGGGUAAUCAUCUGUGCUUUCCAAAACCAUUCUUCCCUCUACAACUCCUUCCACCAUUAACAUAUCUCCUUCUUCUACCAUCAAUUUCUACACCAACAAAUUCAUAUAUUAAUUAUAUCAUAUUAAUUAAGAAAACAAUUAAUUAAUUAAUUAAUUAAACCAUGAUUUAACAGUGUUUUGUUAAUUUUUAAAUUAUAUUUUCUUUUUGAAAAACAAUAACACGUACGUUUAGCUGACAUAUUUUUUACUUAUCACUUAUUUUAGCUACGAGGUAAUCAGUCAACUAACUGCCUAAUUAAUUAAUACUAGUAAAAUUAAAAAAGAAGUUACUAGGUAAAGUCAAACUACACUUUCUUGAAUAUAUGGUCGGGGUGGGGUGAUGUUUCAGUUCAUUAAUUUAAUCCUAAAAUAAAUUAAUGAUUACUAAAGAGACGGAUUAUUAAAAUAAAUAUAUAGAAACAGAAGUAAAAAUCCAACAGAUAAGGUGGGCUGGCUGUAGUUGUAAACUUUUUAUUGACAUAUUUUGAAGAAAUCCAAAUUAACAAUAUAUAUAUAUAUAUAUAUAUAUAUAUAUAUAUAUAUAGAGAGAGAGAGAGAGAGAGAGAGAGCUAGGCCUUACUGGAUGUAGGAACUGCAGCAAUGGAGGAGAGAACAAAAGAGAAACCCAAAAACAGAACAAGCGGGGUAAGCAAAGACUUGUUCAUAUUGACAAAUUAUAUAUAAAAACGAACAGAUCUGAGAAGAGAUUAUUGUCGAGGAGGAGGGAGGAGGGUGUGAUGCAGACAAAAUAUGUGGAGAAGGUGCAUUCAUUAUAUAGAGAGAUAAGAGAUGGAGAGGUACAAAAGAAAGAAUGUCAAUUGUUUUUAGCUUACUUCCAUG